RNAcentral lists this ribosomal RNA (500 nucleotides) under uncultured bacterium. RNAcentral's name for it is "partial 16S ribosomal RNA". It matches the Rfam family "Bacterial small subunit ribosomal RNA", at positions 30 to 523 of the family's 1533-position model. The record is from RNAcentral.
AUUGAACGCUGGCGGAAUGCUUUACACAUACAAGUCGAACGGCAGCACGGACUUCGAUCUGGUGGCGAGUGGCGAACGGGUGAGUAAUGUAUCGGAACGUGCCCAGUCGUGGGGGAUAACGUAGUGAAAAUUACGCUAAUACCGCAUACGAUCUAUGGAUGAAAGCGGGGGAUCGCAAGACCUCGCGCGAUUGGAGCGGCCGAAAUCAGGUUAGGUAGUUGGUGGGGUAAAGGCCCACCAAGCCAACGAUCUGUAGCUGGUCUGAGAGGACGACCAGCCACACUCGAACUGAGACACGGUCCAGACUCCUACGGGAGGCAGCAGUGGGGAAUUUUGGACAAUGGGCGAAAGCCUGAUUCAGCCAUUCCGCGUGCAGGAUGAAGGCCCUCGGGUUGUAAACUGCUUUUGUACAGAACGAAAAGGUUUCUACUAAUACUAGGAGCUCAUGACGGUACUGUAAGAAUAAGCACCGGCUAACUACGUGCCAGCCGCCGCCGUAA